RNAcentral lists this ribosomal RNA (118 nucleotides) under Nannospalax galili (Upper Galilee mountains blind mole rat). Lineage: Eukaryota; Metazoa; Chordata; Mammalia; Rodentia; Spalacidae. The record is from RNAcentral.
UCUUAAGACCAUACCACCCUGAACACUCCCAAUCUCGUCUGAUCUUGGAAGCUAAGGAGGGUCGGCCUGGUUAGUACUUGGAUGGGAGACCACCUGGGAAUACCAGGUGCUGUAGGCU